AGAGUUUGAUCCUGGCUCAGAACGAACGCUGGCGGCGUGCCUAAUACAUGCAAGUCGAGCGGACCGACGGGAGCUUGCUCCCUUAGGUCAGCGGCGGACGGGUGAGUAACACGUGGGUAACCUGCCUGUAAGACUGGGAUAACUCCGGGAAACCGGGGCUAAUACCGGAUGCUUGAUUGAACCGCAUGGUUCCAAUCAUAAAAGGUGGCUUUCAGCUACCACUUACAGAUGGACCCGCGGCGCAUUAGCUAGUUGGUGAGGUAACGGCUCACCAAGGCGACGAUGCGUAGCCGACCUGAGAGGGUGAUCGGCCACACUGGGACUGAGACACGGCCCAGACUCCUACGGGAGGCAGCAGUAGGGAAUCUUCCGCAAUGGACGAAAGUCUGACGGAGCAACGCCGCGUGAGUGAUGAAGGUUUUCGGAUCGUAAAACUCUGUUGUUAGGGAAGAACAAGUACCGUUCGAAUAGGGCGGCACCUUGACGGUACCUAACCAGAAAGCCACGGCUAACUACGUGCCGGCAGCCGCGGUAAUACGUAGGUGGCAAGCGUUGUCCGGAAUUAUUGGGCGUAAAGGGCUCGCAGGCGGUUUCUUAAGUCUGAUGUGAAAGCCCCCGGCUCAACCGGGGAGGGUCAUUGGAAACUGGGGAACUUGAGUGCAGAAGAGGAGAGUGGAAUUCCACGUGUAGCGGUGAAAUGCGUAGAGAUGUGGAGGAACACCAGUGGCGAAGGCGACUCUCUGGUCUGUAACUGACGCUGAGGAGCGAAAGCGUGGGGAGCGAACAGGAUUAGAUACCCUGGUAGUCCACGCCGUAAACGAUGAGUGCUAAGUGUUAGGGGGUUUCCGCCCCUUAGUGCUGCAGCUAACGCAUUAAGCACUCCGCCUGGGGAGUACGGUCGCAAGACUGAAACUCAAAGGAAUUGACGGGGGCCCGCACAAGCGGUGGAGCAUGUGGUUUAAUUCGAAGCAACGCGAAGAACCUUACCAGGUCUUGACAUCCUCUGACAAUCCUAGAGAUAGGACGUCCCCUUCGGGGGCAGAGUGACAGGUGGUGCAUGGUUGUCGUCAGCUCGUGUCGUGAGAUGUUGGGUUAAGUCCCGCAACGAGCGCAACCCUUGAUCUUAGUUGCCAGCAUUCAGUUGGGCACUCUAAGGUGACUGCCGGUGACAAACCGGAGGAAGGUGGGGAUGACGUCAAAUCAUCAUGCCCCUUAUGACCUGGGCUACACACGUGCUACAAUGGAUGGUACAAAGGGCUGCGAGACCGCGAGGUUAAGCGAAUCCCAUAAAACCAUUCUCAGUUCGGAUUGCAGGCUGCAACUCGCCUGCAUGAAGCCGGAAUCGCUAGUAAUCGCGGAUCAGCAUGCCGCGGUGAAUACGUUCCCGGGCCUUGUACACACCGCCCGUCACACCACGAGAGUUUGUAACACCCGAAGUCGGUGGGGUAACCUUUUGGAGCCAGCCGCCUAAGGUGGGACAGAUGAUUGGGGUGAAGUCGUAACAAGGUAGCCGUA
RNAcentral lists this ribosomal RNA (1515 nucleotides) under Bacillus licheniformis. Its description in RNAcentral is "bacterial SSU rRNA". It matches the Rfam family "Bacterial small subunit ribosomal RNA". Lineage: Bacteria; Bacillati; Bacillota; Bacilli; Caryophanales; Bacillaceae. The record is from RNAcentral.